CUUUAUUCAGUAUAUGACUGUAAUGCACAGUAUAAAAGUUGGGCACAGCAGCUUUAAUACACAAAUUCAAAAUCACCACAUAAACAGGUGGACACGCUGCGGGUGCGUGUCAGUAAAUUCAUUUUUUCCACACACUCAAAACGUGGUUAGAUGGAUGCAGCAGGGAGACAGAGUUUGGUUCUGUUGAAGGAUCACCGCCUCCAUCUGCUCUCUCUGAUACCUGUUUAAAUAUUUUAUAAUACAGCCUAAUGAAAUAUGAAGAGCCCGGCUUUUCCAAACAAUUAAGCAUAAUGAGUGUGUCUCUCAGAGAUCGUGGCGCUAAAACUAAAAGGCAACAACUGGGAAAUCAAACAUGUCAAAGACAGAACUGAAACUCUACACUGAUGGAAGCACAGUCCGGAUCCAGCAUCCGGGCCCGCUCUUUACCGUCAGCCGACUGAGCCUAGUUUUGAAUUGACGGACGUUGGCGAUAACCAAUCAGCGCCUGCCGUGCGCCAAAGCUGUGUUUAUUCCACUUAACCGACCAAUCAGAGCCGUCCUCUGCGGGCAAGUGCGUCAUCAAAGUAGAAUGUGAAUGUGGGCUGCCUGUUAUCGGAGCACACUCUGCUCCCAUCCCCCAUCUCCACUGAGCAAUAGCGGCUGCCUUUUUGCGUGCCGCUUUGUCCUUCUCAGUUCAGCUUGUAAAAGCCAUGUGUACAAAAGUCGCCGUCCUUUAUUUUAUUCUACUAAACAAUGGCAGACACACAGGUCGACUCCGGCUCGGAUAUCUCUGCCAAGGACCUGAAAGAGAAGAAGCUGGUGGAGGAGAAGGAGAACGGCAAAGACGCCGCCACCAACGGAAAGGAGAAUGAGGAGAACGGUGAGCCCGAGGUAGAUGACGAGGAGGACGAGGAGGUGGACGAGGAAGAAGAGGAAGAUGAUGGAGAAGGUGAUGAGGAAGAUGAGGAGGAGGAUGAAGACGAGAUUGAGGGUGGCACAAAACGGGCAGCUGAGGAUGACGAGGACGACGAUGAGGACGACGUCGAAACCAAGAAGCAGAAAACCGACGAUGACGAUUGAUGCGUUUCCCCCGCGCCAUCCUGCUGAACCACUUCCUGAUUCUUCACCUCUGACCGUUUUUCUAUGUCGCAGGUGGAGGGGCUGGAGGACUGAUUUAAAGGAAAAAAUAAUAAUAAUAAAAAAAUCCAACAUGGUCAUUAGCAAGUAGAGUUCAACAAACACCCGCCACGUCCACACUCACCCGAGCUCCCCUCAACGCUGCGAGACGAAUUUUCUAGAGGAACCCGCCACCGCAUCGACAACGCAGAAAUCCGGCUUCUCUUCAGCAACAACACAAAAGGAGAAUUUGUUUGUAUUUUUAUUUACAUUUUAUAUUUUUGUACAUAUUGUUAGGAGAGGGGAGGGGGGGCAGUUUCUCUCUCGAUCUCGUCAGACCAAAUCGGUGCUUCUCUAACGAAAGAUUUUACUUGGUUGACCAUGUUACGAUAUCUCAACAGAUCCUAGAAAAACGUGUAAAAAAGUUAAAAAAAAAAUAAAAUAAAAACAUGAAAGACAACCUCUUAAGCCGUUGAACUCAGAGCAUUCCAGUAAAUUUAAUGUAUGUACUUUAGCUGUACCAUAACUAGUUUGUUUGUAUGGGAGGGUAAGGCCAAAGAAAAGAGCCUCUUUUCUUUUUCCUUUCUUUUGUUUUUUUCUUUUGGUUUUGUUUUUGUCAGCGACUUUUUGUUUUAUGACGGCCUGUUUUGAUGUAUGUGCAAAGUUUGUUGUUUGACAAUAAACCGGACUUUUAUUUUGUGAGUUGUACUUUGUAUCUCUGCCCCUUUUUAUUUGUGCUUUGCUCUCCCGCGAGGAAGAGGAAGCGGUGCAGGUAAACCUGAGGUCUGCUUUUACUUUAGGGUCACAACAGCAGGGAGGAGGGUCCAGCACAUUUUAUUGGACAUUUUACACUCAUUACAUCCAUAUAAUUUAUAUCACAUAAAAAUUAAGGUUUGGUACUAAAAUAAACUUGUGGUGGUUCCAAAAGAGUAAAAUGUGAUUUAUUUCUUUUGGAUUUUUCUUUUCUUCUGGAUCACAUAAAUAAGGGUUUCUGCAUAAAUUUAAAGUCUUAACAUUAAAAUAAAGCACAGUAAGGUCUGAGAAGCUGAUCUGUAUUCUAAUAAAUUUGCUCAGUUUGUAGAGGUUGUGUUUAAGAACUGUGGGAAAAAUCGUUGCCAAUAAGUUUAAUUUUGUAAGUUAGUCUGUUAGUAUAUUUAUUUGGACCGAUGUCCAGGUAAGUGCAUUUCUGCAAUUUCAAGUUCUUUGGUUUGAAAAUUUUAAAAGUGCAGAGAAAAAGAGUAAAAAGUUGGAGAAAUUCCUGAUUCAGCAUCUUCCAGUGAAGCAGUGGAAAACCUGCACAAUAAAAAGUGAAAGCUUCA
Long non-coding RNA from Oreochromis aureus, 2414 nucleotides. The record is from Ensembl. Lineage: Eukaryota; Metazoa; Chordata; Actinopteri; Cichliformes; Cichlidae.